Molecule: ribosomal RNA, 433 nt
Filed under: uncultured bacterium
Lineage: Bacteria
Description: partial 16S ribosomal RNA
Rfam family: Bacterial small subunit ribosomal RNA
Source: RNAcentral
AACGAACGCUGGCGGCAUGCCUAACACAUGCAAGUCGAACGAGACCUUCGGGUCUAGUGGCGCACGGGUGCGUAACGCGUGGGAACCUGCCCUUAGGUUCGGAAUAACUCCCCGAAAGGGGUGCUAAUACCGGAUAAUGUCUUCGGACCAAAGAUUUAUCGCCUUUGGAUGGGCCCGCGUUGGAUUAGCUAGUUGGUAGGGUAAAAGCCUACCAAGGCUACGAUCCAUAGCUGGUCUGAGAGGAUGAUCAGCCACACUGGGACUGAGACACGGCCCAGACUCCUACGGGAGGCAGGAGUGGGGAAUAUUGGAAAAUGGGCGAAAGCCUGAUCCAGCAAUGCCGCGUGAGUGAUGAAGGCCUUAGGGUUGUAAAGCUCUUUUACCCGGGAUGAUAAUGACAGUACCGGGAGAAUAAGCUCCGGCUAACUCCGUG